UACGGAGGAUCCAAGCGUUAUCCGGAAUCAUUGGGUUUAAAGGGUCCGUAGGCGGGUUUGUAAGUCAGUGGUGAAAGUCUGCAGCUCAACUGUAGAACUGCCAUUGAUACUGCACACCUUGAGUAAUUAUGAAGUGGUUAGAAUAUGUAGUGUAGCGGUGAAAUGCAUAGAUAUUACAUAGAAUACCGAUUGCGAAGGCAGAUCACUAAUAAUUUACUGACGCUGAUGGA
RNAcentral lists this ribosomal RNA (230 nucleotides) under uncultured microorganism. RNAcentral's name for it is "partial 16S ribosomal RNA". It matches the Rfam family "Bacterial small subunit ribosomal RNA", at positions 524 to 753 of the family's 1533-position model. The record is from RNAcentral.